RNAcentral lists this long non-coding RNA (759 nucleotides) under Glycine max (soybean). RNAcentral's name for it is "long non-coding RNA (GMAX_LNC000767)". Lineage: Eukaryota; Viridiplantae; Streptophyta; Magnoliopsida; Fabales; Fabaceae. The record is from RNAcentral.
AAAGCUAGAUGGGAUGUGUGGACUAGAAUAUAGAAUAUACAUGAAUGAAGAAUGAGCCUUUGUUUCUCUUCCUUAAACUAUUUUGGUUUUGGUUCUGUCCUGGCAGCAGUUAGAAUAGCAGGGAAAUAUUGACUCUUCAACAAAACGCGGAGAAUCUGCAAAGCUUCUUUUUCAAAACCUUCACUUACAUCUUCCGCCAAGUCAAUAUGAUGUGGCUCAAUAGGCACAGGCACAACAUUAAUAUUCUGCUACCACCUACAAAAGUAAUUCCCAUUAUUAUUAUUAUUCUUAAUUUCUUAUAGUAUUUUUUAAUAUGGCACGGUGUGAAAUGAAAUAUUCAAAUGUGCAUUCAAAUGCUGGUUAGUACAACGAGACAACCAAGGACUACAAAUAUAUUUCCUAUAUUUGAUUAUUACGCGUGCUACUAGUCCACCGUGUUCCCUAGCCACGUUGAAAUCUGACUCCAUUUUGAUCACAUAUGUAACCAAACCAAAGCAAAAAAAAAAAAAAGAAGCAUUUCUUACCUCUUAAGAGCUUAUAUAUAUAGGUAGAUAGCAAAGUUGUUUCGGACACAUACCAAACUCGCAUUCUGUUUUCCGCUGCUUGUUUGUGCCUGCGUAGCUACAAAGUAAAAGAGGUGAAAAUCAUUGCUUGCUGUUGUUGUUGCAUUCAUUGUAUGUAUUAAUGUAGCCACAUGCAUGAUUCCAUGAACAUGUCUUUAAUUCUCAUUGUUAAUUAAUGAGUUGCAUUAGCAGGGAC